UAACGUUACCAAACUGUUGCCUCGGCGGGAUCUUCUGCCCCGGGUGCGUCGCAGCCCCGGACCAAGGCGCCCGCCGGAGGAAUCAACCAAAACUCUUAUUGUAUACCCCCUCGCGGGUUUUUUUUAUAAUCUGAGCCUUCUCGGCGCCUCUCGUAGGCGUUUCGAAAAUGAAUCAAAACUUUCAACAACGGAUCUCUUGGUUCUGGCAUCGAUGAAGAACGCAGCGAAAUGCGAUAAGUAAUGUGAAUUGCAGAAUUCAGUGAAUCAUCGAAUCUUUGAACGCACAUUGCGCCCGCCAGUAUUCUGGCGGGCAUGCCUGUCCGAGCGUCAUUUCAACCCUCGAACCCCUCCGGGGGGUCGGCGUUGGGGAUCGGCCUUCCUUCACGGGGGCCGUCUCCGAAAUACAGUGGCGGUCUCGCCGCAGCCUCUCCUGCGCAGUAGUUUGCACACUCGCAUCGGGAGCGCGGCGCGUCCACAGCCGUUAAACACCCAACUUUCUGAAAUGUUGACCUCGGAUCAGGUAGGANNNNNNNCUGAACUU
Molecule: ribosomal RNA, 541 nt
Filed under: uncultured Hypocreaceae
Lineage: Eukaryota; Fungi; Ascomycota; Sordariomycetes; Hypocreales
Description: eukaryotic LSU rRNA
Rfam family: 5.8S ribosomal RNA (bases 177-330)
Source: RNAcentral